UAGAGUUUGAUCCUGGCUCAGGAUGAACGCCGGCGGUGUGCCUAAUACAUGCAAGUCGUACGCACUGGCCCAACUGAUUGAUGGUGCUUGCACCUGAUUGACGAUGGAUCACCAGUGAGUGGCGGACGGGUGAGUAACACGUAGGUAACCUGCCCCGGAGCGGGGGAUAACAUUUGGAAACAGAUGCUAAUACCGCAUAACAACAAAAGCCACAUGGCUUUUGUUUGAAAGAUGGCUUUGGCUAUCACUCUGGGAUGGACCUGCGGUGCAUUAGCUAGUUGGUAAGGUAACGGCUUACCAAGGCGAUGAUGCAUAGCCGAGUUGAGAGACUGAUCGGCCACAAUGGAACUGAGACACGGUCCAUACUCCUACGGGAGGCAGCAGUAGGGAAUCUUCCACAAUGGGCGCAAGCCUGAUGGAGCAACACCGCGUGAGUGAAGAAGGGUUUCGGCUCGUAAAGCUCUGUUGUUGGAGAAGAACGUGCGUGAGAGUAACUGUUCACGCAGUGACGUAUCCACCAGAAUGACGAU
Molecule: ribosomal RNA, 530 nt
Filed under: Limosilactobacillus reuteri
Lineage: Bacteria; Bacillati; Bacillota; Bacilli; Lactobacillales; Lactobacillaceae
Description: bacterial SSU rRNA
Rfam family: Bacterial small subunit ribosomal RNA
Source: RNAcentral